AUGAGGGCCCUCAUUCAGCUCCUGGGUUGUCUGCUGCUCUGGCUUACAGGUGCCAGAUGUGACAUCCAGAUGACCCAGUCUCCAGCCUCCCUGUCUACAUCUCUGGGAGACAGUGUCACCAUUACAUGCCUUGCAAGUGAGAACAUUUAUGGUAAUUUAGCAUGGUAUCAGCAGAAACCAGGAAAACCUCUUAAGCUCCUGAUCUAUGGUACGAACAGCUUGGCAGAUGGGGUCCCAUCAAGGUUCAGUGGCAGUAGAUCUGGUACACAGUAUUCUCUCAAGAUCAGUGGCCUGCAGCCUGAAGAUGUUGUAACUUAUUACUGUCAACAGGGUAACAGUUACCCUCCCACAGUGAUUCAAGCCAUGAUAUAA
Onychomys torridus (southern grasshopper mouse) is the source of this 372-nucleotide non-coding RNA. Lineage: Eukaryota; Metazoa; Chordata; Mammalia; Rodentia; Cricetidae. The record is from the annotation of a RefSeq genome assembly.